Molecule: ribosomal RNA, 476 nt
Filed under: uncultured bacterium
Lineage: Bacteria
Description: bacterial SSU rRNA
Rfam family: Bacterial small subunit ribosomal RNA
Source: RNAcentral
ACACGCUGGCGGCGUGCUUAAUACAUGCAAGUCAACUUGACUUUAGAUAGCAAUAUCGAAAAGUAGGGUGGCGCACGGGUGCGUAACGCGUAGGUAAUCUGCCCUGAGGUCUGACAUAACCCGUCGAAAGGCGGGCUAACAUCAGAUGAUAUAUAAUCACGACAUCGUGGAAAUAUCAAAUCUUCGGAGCCUUGGGAUGAGCCUGCGUCUGAUUAGGUAGUUGGCGGAGUAAUAGCCCACCAAGCCUACGAUCAGUAGCUGGUCUGAGAGGAUGAUCAGCCACACUGGAACUGAGACACGGUCCAGACUCCUACGGGAGGCAGCAGUAAGGAAUAUUGCUCAAUGGGGGAAACCCUGAAGCAGCAACGCCGCGUGAAGGAUGAAAUACUUUGUAUGUAAACUUCUGUAAGAUGGGAAAAAUAUUCUCCUCGGGAGAAUUGAUUGUACCAUCAGAGUAAGCCCCGGCUAACUACGUG